GGGGCCUGGUGCGGUGCCUGGCGCCCUGGCCUUAGGCGAACCAAAGAGUGGAGGGAACCUCGCCUCCUCCGGACACUCCUGCCGGCGUCCUGGCAGCGCCUGCAAGGCGCGGGCGGAAACAAGCUCUGCAGAAAUAAGCAACAGAAGAGGCUUUUCCUUGAGCAAGGCAUUGGUCACGCCUCAAUUAGAACUCAUACUCUUCCUGCAGAUCAGCACAAGAAUCCUCCCACCUACCUGGCAUCUGCGCGCCAGAGGUCAGUUUUGGGUUUUGAACUAAGCAUUUUCAGAAGGACCAAGAGAAAAGCAGACACAGGAGCCUGUUGUCAAUGGAUGUCCUCUGAGCCCCAGUGGGCCUCUGACAUUGGACUGAAGAGGACAGGAUGGUGGUGGAGGUGGAGAUGUUUGGAGAUUAUAAGGAAAGGAUUAGAAGUUGAAGUAGUUGGGACCUGAAGCUUGGUUAUUCCCAGGAAAAUGAUAUAGUCAGACAAAGCUCCCAGAUGCCUAGCAAGCAACAAGUGAAUAAACAAUGACUAUUACUGUAGUCCUGGAGCACCGAACCAGUCUAAGUGUCCGCGGGACAAGCGCGGACUGGAAAACCGAACGUUCCGGGACCCGCUCUUCUGGGAAGCGCACCAAUGCCCUCUAGUGGGUGAGCAAUGAACUGGCGGAAGUCCCGCUCCUCUGACCCCUCCCAGUGCCUAACCUGCGUGU
This is a non-coding RNA of Manis javanica (Malayan pangolin), 711 nucleotides long. Lineage: Eukaryota; Metazoa; Chordata; Mammalia; Pholidota; Manidae. The record is from RefSeq and is a predicted model, not a curated record.